This 497-nucleotide ribosomal RNA is filed under the name uncultured bacterium. RNAcentral describes it as "partial 16S ribosomal RNA". It matches the Rfam family "Bacterial small subunit ribosomal RNA", at positions 28 to 507 of the family's 1533-position model. The record is from RNAcentral.
GAUGAACACUGGCGGCGUGCCUAAUACAUGCAAGUCGAGCGAACAGAUAAGGAGCUUGCUCCUUUGACGUUAGCGGCGGACGGGUGAGUAACACGUGGAUAACCUACCUAUAAGACUGGGAUAACUUCGGGAAACCGGAGCUAAUACCGGAUAACAUAUUGAACCGCAUGGUUCAAUAGUGAAAGGCGGCUUUGCUGUCACUUAUAGAUGGAUCCGCGCCGUAUUAGCUAGUUGGUAAGGUAACGGCUUACCAAGGCAACGAUACGUAGCCGACCUGAGAGGGUGAUCGGCCACACUGGAACUGAGACACGGUCCAGACUCCUACGGGAGGCAGCAGUAGGGAAUCUUCCGCAAUGGGCGAAAGCCUGACGGAGCAACGCCGCGUGAGUGAUGAAGGUCUUCGGAUCGUAAAACUCUGUUAUCAGGGAAGAACAAAUGUGUAAGUAACUGUGCACAUCUUGACGGUACCUGAUCAGAAAGCCACGGCUAACUACGUG